RNAcentral lists this ribosomal RNA (951 nucleotides) under uncultured bacterium. RNAcentral's name for it is "bacterial SSU rRNA". It matches the Rfam family "Bacterial small subunit ribosomal RNA", at positions 551 to 1501 of the family's 1533-position model. The record is from RNAcentral.
UUACUGGGCGUAAAGCGCAUGCAGGUGGUUUGUUAAGUCAGAUGUGAAAGCCCGGGGCUCAACCUCGGAAUUGCAUUUGAAACUGGCAGACUAGAGUACUGUAGAGGGGGGUAGAAUUUCAGGUGUAGCGGUGAAAUGCGUAGAGAUCUGAAGGAAUACCGGUGGCGAAGGCGGCCCCCUGGACAGAUACUGACACUCAGAUGCGAAAGCGUGGGGAGCAAACAGGAUUAGAUACCCUGGUAGUCCACGCCGUAAACGAUGUCUACUUGGAGGUUGUGGCCUUGAGCCGUGGCUUUCGGAGCUAACGCGUUAAGUAGACCGCCUGGGGAGUACGGUCGCAAGAUUAAAACUCAAAUGAAUUGACGGGGGCCCGCACAAGCGGUGGAGCAUGUGGUUUAAUUCGAUGCAACGCGAAGAACCUUACCUACUCUUGACAUCCAGAGAACUUUCCAGAGAUGGAUUGGUGCCUUCGGGAACUCUGAGACAGGUGCUGCAUGGCUGUCGUCAGCUCGUGUUGUGAAAUGUUGGGUUAAGUCCCGCAACGAGCGCAACCCUUAUCCUUGUUUGCCAGCGAGUAAUGUCGGGAACUCCAGGGAGACUGCCGGUGAUAAACCGGAGGAAGGUGGGGACGACGUCAAGUCAUCAUGGCCCUUACGAGUAGGGCUACACACGUGCUACAAUGGCGCAUACAGAGGGCAGCCAACUUGCGAGAGUGAGCGAAUCCCAAAAAGUGCGUCGUAGUCCGGAUCGGAGUCUGCAACUCGACUCCGUGAAGUCGGAAUCGCUAGUAAUCGUGGAUCAGAAUGCCACGGUGAAUACGUUCCCGGGCCUUGUACACACCGCCCGUCACACCAUGGGAGUGGGCUGCAAAAGAAGUAGGUAGUUUAACCUUCGGGAGGACGCUUACCACUUUGUGGUUCAUGACUGGGGUGAAGUCGUAACAAGGUAACC